UAGAAAGUUGCUCUAUUGCUUAGUGCCUA
RNAcentral lists this non-coding RNA (29 nucleotides) under Mus musculus (house mouse). The record is from RNAcentral. Lineage: Eukaryota; Metazoa; Chordata; Mammalia; Rodentia; Muridae.